AAAAAAGCCACAUCGGAUGAAUUAUGGUUUCCUUCUCUUUCUCAGAGCCGCAGUAGCCCACGGCCACAUCUAGUUAGAACGUAGAGCCGUUAACCAUCAUCACCGGAGACUGAGCCUCGACGUGGAAACACUUCAGCAGCUCUUUGGCGGGAGACUGAAGUAUCUGGCUUACUCGGUGUCACGUCUCCUUUUGUGCACCUUCUGUGGGACUGCUGGGAGCAAAGUGAAGUUGUUGGGGCCUUCAAGACUUUGGUGUUGCCCAGAGCCUUUGCUGGAAGAAUCCCUGAUGUUGAAUCUGAUCACCUAUCAGACCCCCACUGGCCACCACUUUGACUUCCUGACUGGGCACCAUGUCGCGUACCCGUCAACUAAAUCAUCUCCUUUCAACUGCCUGUAACCAGGUUGGUUUGUUUCAAUAAAGGGCACAAGCAGCAAAUGUCACCCAAGCCUCCUGCCUCGCUCUUCUUGGUGUGGAAAAUCUGCAAACAUUGCCAUUGUAAAAAGUUAAAAUUUUAAAAGCAACAUACAAAAAGCCGCAUGUACAGUAAGUACCGUAGGCUGCUAAUUUACUUUAAUUAAUGCUUAAAAUAUAGAAAAAGACUGAGAGCUAAUACACCAGAAUAUUAACAGAUGAUUAUCUUUGGGCAGAUUACUGGUAAUGUUUAUUUGUUUCUUACACAUUUCUUUAACUUACAAAUUUUCUAUAACAAAUACGAUCCUUUUUAAUUUAAUAUUAUUUAAAAUUCAAGAAAUGUCACUGUGUAAAUGCAAAUGGUAUAAUGG
This 783-nucleotide long non-coding RNA is filed under the name Ursus maritimus (polar bear). RNAcentral's name for it is "lncRNA (ENSUMAG00000022245.1)". Lineage: Eukaryota; Metazoa; Chordata; Mammalia; Carnivora; Ursidae. The record is from RNAcentral.